CAAUGAUUUUUUAAAUUGCUGUGGUAUUUUGACUAUACAAAGGUAUUGAAAUAAGAUUUUAAUUGAAUGCUAAGAGAAUGGAAUUUCAGAAAAAAACUUUUUUUAAAUUAAAAAUUGAAAUUUUUUUAAUUUGUGCAGAAACAAUUAUUAACAUUAAGGACAAGAAGACCCUAUGAAUUUUUGAAAUUUUUAAUAAUUAAUUUAUUAUUAUUAUUAAAAAUUUUAGCUGGGGCGGCUAAAAAAUAUAAUUAACUUUUUAAGAAUAAAACGAUCCACUAAUAAUGAUUACAUGUUAAAUACUCUAGGGAUAACAGCGUUAUAUUUUUUGAUAGACCAUAUUGACAAAAAAGUUUGCGACCUCGAUGUUGGAUUAGGAUACUUUUUUAAUGAAGAUAUUAAAAAAAGAAGUUUGUUCAACUUUUAAUUUCCUACUUGAUCUGA
RNAcentral lists this ribosomal RNA (441 nucleotides) under Rhipicephalus pusillus. RNAcentral's name for it is "partial 16S ribosomal RNA". The record is from RNAcentral. Lineage: Eukaryota; Metazoa; Arthropoda; Arachnida; Ixodida; Ixodidae.